CAAUGGCAGGUACAGAGGGGUGCUACCGGGUGACCGGAUGCGGAUCUCGAAAGCCUGUCCCAGUUCGGACUGGAGUCUGCAACCCGACUCCACGAAGUUGGAUUCGCUAGUAAUCGCGCAUCAGCCAUGGCGCGGUGAAUACGUUCCCGGGCCUUGUACACACCGCCCGUCAAGCCAUGGGAGCCGGGGGCGCCUGAAGUCCGGGACCGCGAGGACCGGCCUAGGGCGAAACUGGUAACUGGGGCUAAGUCGUAACAAGGUACC
RNAcentral lists this ribosomal RNA (264 nucleotides) under uncultured bacterium. RNAcentral describes it as "partial 16S ribosomal RNA". It matches the Rfam family "Bacterial small subunit ribosomal RNA", at positions 1228 to 1500 of the family's 1533-position model. The record is from RNAcentral.